AGCGAACGCUGGCGGCAGGCUUAACACAUGCAAGUCGAGCGGGCACCUUCGGGUGUCAGCGGCAGACGGGUGAGUAACACGUGGGAACGUACCCUUUGGUUCGGAACAACUCUGGGAAACUGGAGCUAAUACCGGAUACGCCCUGAUGGGGAAAGGUUUACCGCCGAAGGAUCGGCCCGCGUCUGAUUAGCUAGUUGGUGAGGUAACGGCUCACCAAGGCGACGAUCAGUAGCUGGUCUGAGAGGAUGAUCAGCCACACUGGGACUGAGACACGGCCCAGACUCCUACGGGAGGCAGCAGUGGGGAAUAUUGGACAAUGGGCGCAAGCCUGAUCCAGCCAUGCCGCGUGAGUGAUGAAGGCCUUAGGGUUGUAAAGCUCUUUCACCCGCGACGAUGAUGACGGUAGC
RNAcentral lists this ribosomal RNA (407 nucleotides) under uncultured bacterium. Its description in RNAcentral is "bacterial SSU rRNA". It matches the Rfam family "Bacterial small subunit ribosomal RNA", at positions 29 to 479 of the family's 1533-position model. The record is from RNAcentral.